This is a long non-coding RNA of Ictalurus punctatus (channel catfish), 1069 nucleotides long. RefSeq lists it as uncharacterized. The record is from RefSeq and is a predicted model, not a curated record. The transcript is spliced from 5 exons. Lineage: Eukaryota; Metazoa; Chordata; Actinopteri; Siluriformes; Ictaluridae.
AGAUUCCCAUUUCCCUAGGUUAAAAAAAUGACGUAAGCAAGACGACUAAACAACCGGGAGGGACCUUGGUCUUAUCGUUAUCUCGAGGGGGGGGGCAGCCACCCUUAUAACUGGCUUUCUUCAUGGUUCUCUAAAAAUUAAGGCUUUCCUUGCGAGACGAGAAUCUUCACCAUCUGAAUCAUGACUGGUGUGUGGUGGGUGUUCUGGUGCAUUAUGGCUGCCGUCGCAUCAUCCAGGUGGAUUCUACACACUGGUAGUGGAGUUUGACGCGUCCCUGGAUCAACAAGGGUGGUGCUUAAAAGGUCAUGAAACACUAAACUACAUUUUCUGAGAUUUUAACAGAGCUGUUUUUGUCACACAUCAUAAAACACAAUGAAUCCAUUAAUUUGAAUUGCAGGAGAAAACUGGUUAAUUUUUUAGCUUUUUUCUGCUAUUUUCGUCUUCCGGGUUUAAAAUCUACAUUGUGUCGAUGCCACAGGUUGUGACUUGGCAAUAAACAAUUAACAAAAUUAGUGUCUUCUUUAAACCAGGAAGUACACUAAUGGUAAUGUGUGCACUAAAACAUGUGUCUUUGUAUUUUUCCUUUAAGGUCCUUUGGUGUGCCCUUAUUGACAAAAGAGUCAUUGACCACAUUGGAUGAUGGACAUUGUCAUAGACAUUCAACUGAGAAAUCACUCGAUUUCUCAUCACUGUGUGCUUCCCUGAAACUGAUGAAGUGGAAUACAUCAGAAGUGGGCAACAAUUGGUGCAAAGGAAGAGGUGUUCAUGAGACCCUUGUUUGUCCUGAGCAAUUAAACUGCCCACUGUUCUUCAGAUAAAUCCUCCAGGUCCUGCACAUGGACCAUUCGACAGACAUAAUGCAACGCCAGAUCUGUUUUUUUCUUCCCAGUCCAUCCACGAAGGGAUCAAGUGCUUUGUUUCUCUUUUGUAAGUUGAUUCAGAUAAAAAAGCGAAUAAAUUAAAAGUCAUAUAAAUGUGAGAUAUGAGAAGUGAUAUAAAUAAAAGGAGGUCAGGAGGUGCCCUGCUUCCCCAGUAGGAAGAAGAGAGGACGGUUUGUCACCAUAAGUUA